Molecule: ribosomal RNA, 253 nt
Filed under: uncultured bacterium
Lineage: Bacteria
Description: partial 16S ribosomal RNA
Rfam family: Bacterial small subunit ribosomal RNA
Source: RNAcentral
UACCGAGGGUGCGAGCGUUGUCCGGAAUUACUGGGCGUAAAGGGCGCGUAGGCGGCCUUCUAAGUCGAACGUGAAAUCCCCGGGCUCAACCCGGGAACUGCGUCCGAUACUGGAAGGCUUGAAUCCGGGAGAGGGAUGCGGAAUUCCAGGUGUAGCGGUGAAAUGCGUAGAUAUCUGGAGGAACACCGGUGGCGAAGGCGGCAUCCUGGACCGGCAUUGACGCUGAGGCGCGAAAGCCAGGGGAGCAAACGGG